Molecule: long non-coding RNA, 439 nt
Filed under: Androctonus crassicauda
Lineage: Eukaryota; Metazoa; Arthropoda; Arachnida; Scorpiones; Buthidae
Source: RNAcentral
CGAUGUAUGACGUCAUUUGCCCUGUGCUUUCCUGCUCUACUGGGAUUCUGUACACUCCUGAUUUUUGCAUCUCAGUUCUCCUGUCUUUUUUGUUUCUGAUUUUAUUAAAAAUUGUUUGCGUUCUACGUACUACUAAUCUCUUUUUCAUCUUCAGUAUGUUUCUUACUGUCUUGCAUCUUGCUACUGGAGCUGACAAUGCUAUGUAACCUUCACUAUUCUCAUUUUCAUCUUGCACAUCUUGGUUGGUAGAACUUACAUUAUUUAACACUUGCUGUACUUUAGCCUGUAUACUUUUCAAGAAUCCACGGGUAUAGCCAUGCUGCUCUCCUAUUCUGUAUAUAAACUAUAAUUCUCUUUCUAGAUCCUGGUUAUCUGUGGUAUACAGAUAUGCCCUCCUAAAGUAGGCUCGAAAAGCUGCCUUCUUAUAUUUGAUAGGAUC